AUGCGUGUUGCAAUAUAUAAGUAUUUUUUGUUAUUAUUGUAUUUGGGGUUGUGUUUACCUAUCAAAACGAUGCCCUAUCCUAAAAGCGAGCAUGAAUUCGAUAACCCUUUGAACAUAGUACACAUUGAGUCGGACCGUAAUCCUUUAACGCCUGAUUGGAGUUCGCGAGGAGAUUUAAACUAUAGGAAAGAUGAGUUCAAUUUGAAUCUGCACAAUCCAGAAGAUACCACGUGGAUGCACAAAUCUUCUAAUAAUAGCGAACAAAUAGUUAAUUUAUACAAAAACAGUAAUCCAUUUGGUUUUGACGAAGCCAAGAUUGAUUUGACUCCGACAGAGUAUUUUCAGAAUAGUUGGAAACAUACUGAGCAUACUGAGGCACCGAAUCAAUCUAGGCCUAAACAUGUCUUUAAUUACUUGAAGGAAAAUGCUCUCGAAUAUUCACGGACACCUCCAAACGACGAAAAGCAAGCUUUACACAGUAGUACUGCUGUGCCUAAUACGCUAAAUUCAGAUAGAGAGACACAUAGAAGCUCUUAUGGUCUUCGUAGAUCCAAUAGACACAGUUA
Schistocerca gregaria is the source of this 566-nucleotide long non-coding RNA. RefSeq lists it as uncharacterized. NCBI's taxonomy places the organism in Eukaryota, Metazoa, Arthropoda, Insecta, Orthoptera, Acrididae. The transcript has 3 exons. The record is from RefSeq and is a predicted model, not a curated record.